RNAcentral lists this ribosomal RNA (425 nucleotides) under uncultured bacterium. RNAcentral describes it as "partial 16S ribosomal RNA". It matches the Rfam family "Bacterial small subunit ribosomal RNA", at positions 360 to 776 of the family's 1533-position model. The record is from RNAcentral.
AAUCUUCCGCAAUGGACGAAAGUCUGACGGAGCAACGCCGCGUGAGUGAUGAAGGUUUUCGGAUCGUAAAACUCUGUUGUUAGGGAAGAACAAGUACCAUUCGUAUAGGGUGGUACCGUGACGGUACCUAACCAGAAAGCCACGGCUAACUACGUGCCAGCAGCCGCGGUAAUACGUAGGUGGCAAGCGUUGUCCGGAAUUAUUGGGCGUAAAGCGCGCGCAGGCGGUUCCUUAAGUCUGAUGUGAAAGCCCCCGGCUCAACCGGGGAGGGUCAUUGGAAACUGGGGAACUUGAGUGCAGAAGAGAAGAGCGGAAUUCCACGUGUAGCGGUGAAAUGCGUAGAGAUGUGGAGGAACACCAGUGGCGAAGGCGGCUCUUUGGUCUGUAACUGACGCUGAGGCGCGAAAGCGUGGGGAGCAAACAGG